UUUUUAAAAAAAUUGUUUAAGGACCAGAUAUAUUAAUUCGAUCAAUAAUGUAAAUUUUUUUUCAUACGAUAUUUCUUAAAUAGUUUUUAUAUAAAUUUACACGCUUAUCCUAGUACCUAUUGUAAUCAGAACUAUAACCUUCAAAUUUUAUAAAUAAAUAAUUUUUGAAGUCGUUAUCAAUUCAGAAAUACAAUAAACGAAUUUUAGCCAGGAAAAUGAGAUAAUCUAAUUGACUUGGAAAUAAAGAGAAUCUUAGAGUAUAUAGUUUUCUUUAUUUUUGAUGAUUUUGUAAGAAUUACUAUAAAAAACAUUUAAAAUUUCUGUUUUGCCUGAUACCUUUCCACUUCGUAUUGUUUUACUCCAACUUUUGAUUUAUGACUUAUUGGACCUAAAUUUCUAGGACGUGGUUUACACCUCAUUAGAAAACCCCUAAAUUUCUUAGUUUGACCAUCUUUAGACCAUCUUCAAGAAUUUUUUUUGAAUAAAUAAAAUUAAUAGUUUAUUCUUGGUAAAUCUGAAAUCUAAUAAAAAUAGUAGAUUUUUCUGUAAAAUUUUCAUCAUCUCAGUUGUUCUUCUUAAGGGAGUAUUUGAAGAAAGUAGUUUAUACUUUCAUGAUGGAUGAAGCUAAUAACUAAAACUCAAUCAAAACUCAUUUCAAAUUGUCGUCAGUCAAACGUAGAGACAGUGCAUUUAUACUGAGAGCAUCUCCAUUGCUCAGGUUCUCCAUGAAUCAUAUAAUCUAUCUAUAUUAUAAUAGAAGAGUUUUUACUCUCUUCUAAGCAUGUCCACGUGUGCAGCUUUGUGGACUCCACUUUAUUUUUAUUUUUGGUUUUGUCGUAAAAGAUAUCUGAUUAUCCAACGAAACUAUGCGUUUUGGCUUCCAGGUUACGGUUUUCUGUUUUUUUUGUUCUUCGACUCUUCUUCAACCUCUCCGUAUCUUUCAACUUUCUCUGCGAACAUAUAUUUUAUCCUGUCAUCUCUUCACCUCCCUUAACGCUCAACGAGGUUCAACGUAUCCUACUAAAUUCCCCCGAUUAAUGUGAUACACAUUAAAAGCAAUUACAUUCUCGACCUCUCUGUUUUCAUGAAGCAGUGUGUGUUUCCAUGAAGCAGUGUGUGUUUCUCUACCUUUACAUAAGUCUUCCUUAUAUAUGCUUGAUCUUAAACAUUGGAGCCCUGUGAAUUGGUAAAUAGCAGAACGAUAAGAGCGGCUUGGUCUGCACGUGAGCAGUAAGGUGAUUCUCACUGCCUUCUUUCAAUGACGACAAAGAGGAACUUUAAGGAAAUCUCCGUUGCUGCCGCUUCCUCACCGAUGAACAACGGUUACACAAGCCGGAAGCUAACGGAGGAAGCGUAUGCGCAGCAAAAGGAAGUUGAGGCUGAAGAAAACGCCGAGAAUAUCUCCAUGAGCGCCUUCUUCAAGCUAUCAUUGCAUGAGUUGGAAGAUGUUACUGAUGAUGUUGAUGAGAUUGAGAUCCAAAGCCAACUUGAUUACCAUGAUAUGGCCUGUAGUGAGAAAGAAGAGAAGUUGUUACUAGAUGCAUUCUUUGAUCGAUGAGCAUAUCCGAUCUGUUCAAUCUAACUUCCAGAAGAUCAAAAAGGAGAAAGACAAGCAGCGAAAUGAUGAUGCAUUAAGACACUAAGCAAGGAGCUAUCACAACCAAUAGAGACCAAAAUCUGCCGUUAAGGCCGUGUUCGGACGGGUCGAGUGAUACUGCUGUGGAGUCACGCAAGAAAUCAGGUAUGCAAAUGUCAAAACACAUAAACGUCAUGUGAGAACUAGACUUUACUUCACAUAUGUGUGUGUGAUUGAGAGUGAAACGGCGUUGAUGGAACAGGAAUCGCAUAUUCAUUCGCUGAUGAACGUACUUAGAUACUGCAACAUGGACGAAUCACUUCAAGGAGAGGAGAGUCUCAUCUCCCAAAACGCAUUGUUUAGUUUUUUUGCAACACUGGAGUGGGCUUUACUUGGAUUCUAUGUGUUUUUGGUCUCUUUCAUGAUGUAGGUCUGCUUCCUGAUAUCGUCCAAAUCAUUGUUUCACGUCUAGGGUUGCUUUCAUCCUCUAAUAAAAUUAAUGUAGUUGGGGUAUGCAAAGAUGUCUCGGCAAUUUCUGUUUGCGAGAACCUCAGUUAGAUCACAGAGCUUAUGAAAUAAGAGAGUUUGUAGAUU
Molecule: long non-coding RNA, 2170 nt
Organism: Brassica napus (rape)
Lineage: Eukaryota; Viridiplantae; Streptophyta; Magnoliopsida; Brassicales; Brassicaceae
Exons: 5
Source: RefSeq, a predicted model, not a curated record